AGCCGCUAACCGUGACAAUGUCAUCAAUGGUGAAGGAUUGAACGAAGAAGGCAAGAACCCGGUAAAAUUGCUGUUGUAUGAAGGAAAUGUACUAGCCGGAGGUAAUACUCCAGUAUUCAUUCCAUGCUCAGCCAGACCUUCACCAGAAUUUCCAGAAGCAUGGCCAUUACCAUUGGGAAAAGAUUUAGAAAAAGGACCAUCCCUUGUAGACUGUUGCUUAACGGAAGAUCCGGAAUCCCCACU
Non-coding RNA from Schizosaccharomyces pombe (fission yeast), 243 nucleotides. The record is from the annotation of a GenBank genome assembly. NCBI's taxonomy places the organism in Eukaryota, Fungi, Ascomycota, Schizosaccharomycetes, Schizosaccharomycetales, Schizosaccharomycetaceae.